This 253-nucleotide ribosomal RNA is filed under the name uncultured bacterium. RNAcentral's name for it is "partial 16S ribosomal RNA". It matches the Rfam family "Bacterial small subunit ribosomal RNA", at positions 524 to 776 of the family's 1533-position model. The record is from RNAcentral.
UACGGAGGGAGCUAGCGUUGUUCGGAAUUAUUGGGCGUAAAGGGCUCGUAGGCGGUUUGUCGCGUCGGGAGUGAAAACACCGGGCUUAACUCGGUGCUUGCUUUCGAUACGGGCAGACUAGAGGCAUGCAGGGGAGAACGGAAUUCCUGGUGUAGCGGUGAAAUGCGCAGAUAUCAGGAGGAACACCGGUGGCGAAGGCGGUUCUCUGGGCAUGUCCUGACGCUGAGGAGCGAAAGUGUGGGGAGCGAACAGG